CAGCCGCCACGGUAAUACGUAGGUGACAAGCGUUGUCCGGAUUUAUUGGGCGUAAAGCGAGUGCAGGCGGUCAAUUAAGUCUGAUGUGAAAGCCCCCGGCUCAACCGGGGAGGGUCAUUGGAAACUGGUUGACUUGAGUGCAGAAGAGGAGAGUGGAAUUCCAUGUGUAGCGGUGAAAUGCGUAGAUAUAUGGAGGAACACCAGUGGCGAAGGCGACUCUCUGGUCUGUAACUGACGCUGAGGCUCGAAAGCGUGGGUAGCAAACAGGAUUAGAUACCCGCGUAGUCCCUGUCUCUUAUAC
Molecule: ribosomal RNA, 301 nt
Filed under: uncultured bacterium
Lineage: Bacteria
Description: partial 16S ribosomal RNA
Rfam family: Bacterial small subunit ribosomal RNA
Source: RNAcentral